Molecule: long non-coding RNA, 511 nt
Filed under: Mytilus galloprovincialis (Mediterranean mussel)
Lineage: Eukaryota; Metazoa; Mollusca; Bivalvia; Mytilida; Mytilidae
Source: RNAcentral
AAGGUUUUAAAUAAAGCACGAGUUGUCUUAAAAUAAUUAUAUUGUCUAACAUCGUUUUAUGAAAAAAAACUCAUUCUAAUAAACUAUACAUUUGAUUCAGAUUUUUUUUAUUCUAAUAUUCUAAAGGAAUUUGGGUAGGAGGGGGGGGGGGGUGAUUCUCUCUUUUGUAGUUCUGCCUAUGAAUUUCAUGUAAGGUAAAUAGUCGGGCCAAUCAUUAUUGGCUUUAUCUAUGAUUCCAAAAGAUCCUGAAUUUAUUGUUUCUGUGAAGUUUGGUUAAAGUAAGGUCCCCAUAUGAUUAUGCACGAUUCUUAAUUAGCGUAAACGUCAAUUAAUGGACAAGCAACCCAACGAGAAAAAUAUAAUUUAAGGGCAUAUCCAACAGUUUCAGGGGAGGUAAUAACAAACGUAACCGUCGUCUAUUGUUUCCCGUAAUUUCACGGUGUUUCAACGACGUCAUAAUGGCCGUCUGGAAAGGGCGUUUUUUUUUCCUCAAAGGAAAGGGUACGGCGGG